Ailuropoda melanoleuca (giant panda) is the source of this 2548-nucleotide long non-coding RNA. RefSeq lists it as uncharacterized. The transcript is spliced from 3 exons. The record is from RefSeq and is a predicted model, not a curated record. NCBI's taxonomy places the organism in Eukaryota, Metazoa, Chordata, Mammalia, Carnivora, Ursidae.
UGUGAAUGGGAGGCUCACUGCUUUUCGCCUGACCUUCACUAAAACUCUACAAAGUUAGAGUUGCUGAUCAAAUAGAAGAUAUGUCCCCAUACUCACUCACCGGGGAGACUGUGAGCGCUCCCUUCCAGGCAGCUGGGGAUUCGCUGCAGAGCUAGACGUUCUCGGACCAGCCUGGUAACCACCGCUCAGGGAGCCGUGGGGUUUCCAGCGUGUCCGAUCAGAGCGAAACGGCGGACUCGAUCUGAGAAACGCGUGUUUUCAUCUGCAGCUGUGCUGUCAUGGAUCAGGGAAAACAUGCGGAGUAGCAUUAUGUCUAAGUACUUGAGCCCCAGGUACUGUGGACUUGGACUCCAAGAAGCAGACAGAGAAAACAUGAAUGCACUUACGGGGCACGUGUGAUGAAGGGACAAAGGACCGGGGACAGACACACGCGCGCUCACAGGUAUGGAGAGAACGCACCAGUAUAAAUAUUGGAAACGGAGAUGUUAUUAAAGGAAAAACAGAUGGGAGCCACAGUUGCAAAACACCCCAGACCCAGCACUCACAGUCACUUAACCAAGGUUUAAACAGUCCCAAUUUCCUGGAAAUGCUGGCUCUGACCUUAAACAAAACUGCCAUGAUUGAUGGGAUAGAGGUGACAUGAGUGGUCACAAACCUCCCCGUUAGGACAUUUGCCAAGAACGAUACCUUCCUCUCUAGAGUUGUUGACUAGAUCGGCAGCAAAACUCCCCUCCUCUUUCUCUCCCACCCCUGCCCCUUUCCCUCUGUUCUUCCCCCCCACCCUGUUUCUCUGUUUUCUUUUGUUGUUUUCAAUUAUUCAAAGUUCACUGCAGUUUUAUUUAGUCGUAUCAAAACAAAUGGAGAGGAAAACCUGAAGCAGGAGAUGAACAUAAAUUGGGGAAAUCUUGCAAAACCACAGAAUAAUUCUGGUGCUUGCGGAGACAAAGGCAGUGGAAUAGACCCACACUCUCCCUAAGAUAGUGAAGGUCGACAACUUCUGGAAUCAAAACAACAUUUGCCACUUUUUAUCUCUUAGAGUCCAAAGACUGCUGUCAGUUGUAUUGAGAAGUCAGUCUCUUUUUAAUUGGUGUCAUGAAAGAAAAAAAAUGUGUGUGCUUACGUGUGACUGCGUGUGACUGCAUGUCAGUGCGUGUGUGUUUUCAAAAGACUGCUCAUGCCACCUGACAUACAGCUGCUUUCAGUUUUCAAAAUCUAUUCAUAAACAUUAUCUCAUUUAACUAAGAGCAAUUUUGUGGGAUCUACAGAAAAGGCAUCAGCAUCGGUACCGGGGGAAAGAAGAGGAGGAAAAUUUCAACAACACACACAAAAAAAACCUCACUAAAAAUGAGCCAAAGACCUUAAACAGCCACCUCACCAAAAAAGAUAUAUAGAUGGCAAUAAGCAUAUGACAAGAUGCACCCAAUGUCAUCAGGGAAAUGAUCACUAGAACAACUACAUAUGAGAUAUCCCUGCACGUGGAUGAGAAUGGCCCAAAUCCAGAGCAGUGAUGAUGCCACAUGCUGGACAGACUGUGGUGCCACAGGAACUCUGGGAAUGCAAAAUGGUCCAACUGUCAACCAAGCCAUAAAAAGCCAUGGAGGAACCUUAAAUGUAUCUUACCAAGUAAAAGAAAUCAGUCUGAAAAGGCUACCUACCAUAUGAUUCCCACUACAUGACAUUCUGGAAAAGGCAAAACUAGAGACAGUAAAAUAAUAAUAAUAAAAUAAAAAAUAAUCCCUGGUUGCCAGGGGUCAGAGGGGAAGUACAGAUGACAAGGCUGAGCGCGGAGGAUUUUUAGGACAGUGAGACUGUUAUGUACGAUACUACGAGUGUGGGUACAUGGCAUGAUACGUUUGUCGAAGCCUAUAGGAUGGGCAACAUCAAGUGUGCCCCGGAUGUAACCUACGGACUUGGGGUGGUAGUGAGGGGUCCAUGUAGGCUCAUCCAUUGUAACAGAUGUACCCCCCAUGGGAUGGUGACAGUCGGGGAGUCAACACACGUGUGGGGAUGGGGUGUAUAUGGGAACGCCAUGUACUUGCCACUCAGUUUUGCUGUGAACCUGAAACUACCCCCAAAAUUAAAUGACUAAUUAAUAAAAGUAAAUGGCAACAGAAAUCGUCCAGAUUUAACGUGCGUUAGGAGACCUUAAUUGCAAUCACUCCGGGGGGGUUCCAUGUUAGUUUUGUGAGAAAACAUUUAACGAGUUGAUCUUUUACAAUCGCUUCUCACCGUGUUAAUAGAAAACCCUGAGUGGAAAUCAGAAUUCAAUCGUCAGGUCAGUGCAAGUUGAAACCCUGGAUUGCAGGGUAGCUUAAGUGCUUUACACAUGUGUCAAAGAUCAGCUGAUUUAGUUACAGGCUUGGUUGUCUGCCCAGCACGGCAAUAACGAAGGCAUUAUCAGUGGCACCAAUACGGGAUCAGCUUUCCAUUCCAGACGUGUGAAUCACUUCAGGUAUUGGAGCAACAGCACAGGGACUUCUCCCAAAGGCGAGGAUUGCAGCAUGCCUUUGCACAUAGACAAUGAGAUCGGAAAUACUCACUUACACAU